ACUCGGAAAGCAACGCCUGCUUUCUGCUUCAUUGUUCGAGCUUUGGUCAACUUUGGUUGAAAGUGAAUGGAAAAAUAGGAAAAAUCUCAAAUUCUGAGAAAUUGUUUGGAAAAAUGAUUGUCGAAGGAUGCCUCCACCGGACAAAAAUGUCUCCAAACCACAUGAGACGGAGACAAAUGAAAGUCUGCAUCGAGUCUGCUGGUUUUGAUUCCUGUGCAGAACGGUUCCAUUCCGGAUAGAUGACCAAAAGGACGUUGGUUCCAGGAUGGAUUAUGCUACCACUAAAAGAAACAUGCAGCUUUGACGGGAUGGUUUCAGUUAUGCCGACAAAGAGUGUUUAAAAUUGCCUGGCCAAAUAUAAGCUUGUUUUUGAAUGUUU
Long non-coding RNA from Culex quinquefasciatus (southern house mosquito), 379 nucleotides. RefSeq lists it as uncharacterized. The record is from RefSeq and is a predicted model, not a curated record. Lineage: Eukaryota; Metazoa; Arthropoda; Insecta; Diptera; Culicidae. The transcript is spliced from 2 exons.